CCAUGAUCUGGUGCAGGUUGCCCAGGACAGGCAGCCUCAUUGGACCGGGCGGCAGGUGGAGGCGGCCCCCUUUGGUGGAGAAGUCUCUUGUUGCAAGAGCGAGCGUGAGGAGAACUAGAAGAAAGAGGGUGGUGGCAGGGAGCUGCCAUUGCCAUUGUUGAUGCAAGAAGAAGUCUGCUAGGGCAGUCAAAGACAUGGCGGCCACUGUUGAUCUCUUAGGUUGAAGGGGCUGCAGGUUUCCUCCUCUCCAAACUAGAGUUAACUAUGUGGUACAUGUGCACGGCUUAGUUAUGGGAGUGUAAUAUAAAUAGGGCGAACCAAACCUUGCUGCAAGUAGAUACCAUGCAUGAGCUCAUAGCUACAACUUGAAUAUCAAUCGAGCUAGAUGCAUGAACUCACCUUGUCUAGCUUAACGCUACACAUACUUGAUAUAGCAUCGUGCUGGAAGAUCUAAUACAAGCACUAAUUAUGAAGUUCUCAAGUCAAACAAAGAAACUGAAGUCCAUAUAAAUAUAUGAUCUAAUAUAAUCCGUUUAUUAGCAUUGGGAUGCUAAUCAGCUCUUUGACAUCACAGUUAACUCAAAUGAAUUCCCACUCAACUUGUUCAUUAAACAAUUCUCCUAAGUAUUACGAAUAUAUAUAUGACGAACACUGACUUAGCUACCUUGACAUCGCGAUAGAUCUAGCGCUCCCAAUGCUAACUGCCUGUAUACUUUGAGCCAAUCACAUUGCAUACCAAGCGAGUUGAUUAAGUUCCUUGUAGUGGAAUGUGCUCAGCUGGCCUGUUCAAGUCUUUAAGUUCAGGUGAUUGCACGUACCCGUCAACAGCUCAAGGCGCCCAGAGAAGUUCAUAGAAUUAUGUCGAAUUUAGUAGCCCGGCAGUCCACUGGGGGGUUACCCAAGGGGUUGAUUUGUAGGUAGGGAGGAUUGCGAGACUAAGAACUUGAAGGUGAUCAUGAGAACGAGGAUUUAGACAGGUUCGAGCCUCCGGAGAUUAAUACCCUACGUAAUGUCCUGUAUUUUGGUGGUUUAUAUUGCUUGAGAAUUGAGAUGCUCUCGGGAGGCGCCCUUGGCCGCCUUAUAUAGGCUAACGACCUAGCGUUACAAGUCGGUUUGAAUCUAAUCUAGCUGGUUGUUACAUGGAAAGCAUUCUGAGUCAGAUUACAACAAAUAUCCCGCAAUAUCUGGGCUGAUUUGAAUCACCUAGCCUCCUUGACUUGUGCUCCAAGUAUCUUCUUAUCCUUGGGUCGCAUGUUCUGGUCGGGUGGGCCCACUUGUCAGGACCGGCCAGUAUCCUGGUUGGUGGGGUCCCCAUAUCCCUCAAGCCCCCGAGCGAUGUGUAGGCAAACAGGAACCUGAGGACAUCACAGCAAAGCUUGGAAUGUAGUUGGCUGAAACUGUGAUGGCGUCAUAGUGACGGAGAGGCUGCGCAGUGCUUAAAAAAAAGAAAAUUUGAGUGAACGCAGAGCCGUAUGUGCAGAGCGAAGUCGAGCGUCGAGUUGAUGGAUGUCGGGCAUCUAGUAGGUCGAAGUGAAGGACAUGGAGGGCCUCGCAAGACGCACUCCAUAUGUAAUAGCCCCCGAGCAUUGAAGCGAUUAUUAUAAUCUAUUCAAUGAUCAAAAAGGAAGAAAAAAUUGAUCCUAGAAGCAGGUCAUAGUGCCCGAGCACAAGGAUAGGCGAAACCACAGAGGCACACCGACCAGAAAUAGGCACCCAGCCCCCGAGUAUGAGGACUGACGAAGCAAGGAGGCGCGCUGACCAGAAAUUGGCGCCCAGCCCCCAAGUACAGGGACUGGUGGAGCCACGCGACUAGAAAUAGGUGCCCAGCUCUUGAGUACGAGGACUAGCGGAGCCACGGAGGCGCGCCGACCAGAAAUAGGCGCCCAGCUCCUGAGUACGAGGACUGGUGGAGCCACGGAGGCACACUGACCAGAAAUAGGUGCCCAGCCCCCGAGUACGAGGAUUGGUGAAGCCACAGAGGCACGCCGAUUAGAAAUAGGGGCCCAGCCCCCAAGCAUGAGUGCGAGGACUAGCGGAGCCACAGAGGCACUCUGACCUGAAAUAGACACUCAGCCCCUGAGCGUGAGUGCAAGGACUGGCAGAGCCACCGAGGCACGCCGUAAAAAAACAAAACAGGAAACCCAUGGAUUUCGUCCAGCACGGGCGCCGUAAUAACGGAAAACCCGCAGAUUCCAUUGCUAGGGUUACGCCGUCACGUCCUUCAAAAGCCCAAGGGGCACGGUUCCAUUUUCAUUUCCAUUAGCCACACUUGUGUCGCCACCACCGCAGUCCAUGGAGCACACUGCCGCCACAUUUGUGAACCGUAGGCUGCGCCGCCGUGCUUUCCAUUAUGCUCGCGCGCACUUCUCCGCCGCUACCCGACCCACUGCACCACCGUAUGCGCAUCAAGAGCCUCGCAGUUAUUAGAUCCAAAUCCCAGGGAGUAGAAACCAAGGAUAUGGCCCAAGCAUGGGCACCAGAUCCAUCCUCAAUCUGGGUAAAGUUGGUGAUGAUGCAGGAGUGCAUCCAGGGGCUCAUCGACUGGGGUCUUUUGGGACCCAAGGUGCUGCUCGAGUGGAAGGCGACCGCUGGGCAAGAGUUCCCCAAUAAGGACAAGACGGAGAUGGUGGUCUUCGCGUCCUUCUUGAGCGUGGAUUCGGGAUCUCGACAGGCGAUUUCUUCCGAGGUCUUCUCAACUAUUAAGAGAUUGAAUUGGUACAUCUCAAUCCCAACUCGGUUUUGGAUAUCACCAUCUUCAUUCAUCUGUGCGAGGCGUACUUGGGUACCCCCCCCCAUUUCAAUCUGUGGAAGUAUCUGUAUUAGUUGAAAUCUGUGUCGACCAAGGGGAAGCCAUGAGUGAUUGGGGGAUGUGGGUUUUUGCUGCGGCUGAAGAGAGUGCAGGAGUAAUUUGACCUUCAGUUUAAGGAAUCCAACAAGGACUGGAAUAAGGAAUGGUUUACGAUCACCAAUCAGAACCCCGAGCUCCCGCCGUAUACUGGAUACGCCCCAGUUACAAUGCCCGAGUGGUCGAACCAGCCGACCUCGGAGGAGAUGGUGCAGGUGAAGCAGCUGCUGGAGAAAAUUGCUGACCUAAAGGUGUGUGGGCUCACAGUCGGGGCUAUAAGUAUCAAUUUCUACUGGAGAUUAACACAGCCGAUCAAGAACAGGGUCCAUCCGACGUAUGAAUACACAUGACCACUAGAUCUGAACCGAGAGGUGCAGCGAAAGGUGACCAAAGAAGAGGUCGCCGCCCGUGUAUGCAAGUUUUUUGGUGGCAUCAUCAAGAACAAGAGCUACCCCAGGGCGUUUUCCCUCAAGAGGCUGGCUGACCUGGUAUGAUCUUAACUGUAUCAAUUUGGCGUUCUUGUUUUGCUUUUGUGGUGUAUCUGACUAUUCUUGUUGAUUGACUAGAAUGGUGAAUUUGAGUUCUUUUGCCCGGCGCCACUUCUUGGAAGGGCCGAGCAACAACGACCCAAGGUUCGCCCGACCACCGAGUCCGACCAGCCACUUGCCGCUCUUGAUUGGAAGUCGGACUCCUCUAUCGGGUCGGACGAGGACGUGCAGAGGAGGUCGACCGGGCUGAGGACUCCGUGCCAAUUGGACGCCGAACAUGGCAUGCCAUGCAGAAGCUACCUACCUCCAAAUCUCAGAAGCCGAGCUUCAAGAGGAAGAUGACGGCUGGUAGGAAGGAGAAGGUUGCCUCGAGCACGACCUCUGCGCCCAGGUUGGCCAGCGAAGCGGACGAGGAGUCAAACAUGCCGAGCCUGACUAGCAAGAAGAAGAAGACUGAGCUCCUUGAGAUGACUGCGGCCGACACGGAGCAUGAUGGAGCGAAUGUGUGUUGUUGCCACCACCGCCCUUGCGUCCUAAGUUCUAGGUGAAGCAGAGCACCAUGUAAGUGCAAUCUAGUUAUAUUAUAUGUCUUGUGGUUCCUUUUCUACCUAUCUUGCUUAAGUUGCCUCUCGCACUGACAAUGCAGGAAGGUCGUGCUUGAUGAUGUGUCUAGUACGCAGCUGAUUGGUUGCUCAUCCCUUCCCGAAGGGGCGAGCGGCCGCGUCCCUAAACAGUCGCCACCUCCGGAGGCCGAGGGGGAGUCAAGAUAGUCAUGCCAGAGGAGGAGUUGUACAAGCCCUGGUGCCGCAGCAAGGCAUAGUCGGGGAUACUCCCGCUUCUUCGAGUGCAGCUGCUGCAGACGCUGCUGUGGUUGGCUCCAGGGCUGUGCAUGUGUCUGGUGAGGGAGCUAGAGUUGAGCCUCACAUGGAAGAACUGCCCAGGGAUGAUCCACUGUUGGAGAGGUUCGCCGGGAACGCUUGCGUGGACAUGCAAGGAGAGGAUGAUCCUGAUACCCUGGACUUUUCCGGGACGAGCCUUGAUGGGGAUGUGGUGCAGGACAAGAAAGGCCUGGUCUAGCUGCGGAAGUCGUCCUCUAGGAUUUCCGAGUUGCUAUUUGUAAGUAUGCCGACCAACCUGGAGAACCUUUAUCUUAAAUCUGUACCUUUGCAGUGCUCUAACUUUUAGAAUGUGAAUAGAGUCUAGCCGUGCGUGCUCAUAAGAAGGCACACAUGAUCCAGCAAGCCGAGCAAUAUCGCCUGAAGGUAGAGCAACUUGAGGCUGACCUCAGGAAGGGCAAAGAGGAUGCCGUGCGGAAAGACCUGUAGCAUACCUUGCAGAAAUAGAUUCUUGUUGCACACUUGAAAGGUAUGUUGUGCCGACCUGUCAACUCGGUUCUGUCCUUGAAGUCUUGGUGCUGAUGUGUGCUGGCUCAAAUGAGCAGAUGUCGAGGCGAGGGAGUAAAGGUUCAAACAACACCUCAAAGAGUGCGAGGAUUUAAAUGCUCAUCUCCAGCAAGAGCACGACGUGGUGGUUCACCGUGAGUACGCUUUGUCACAGAAGCUGGGUUACAAGGCUAGCUUGUGCAAAGAUACUGACCACUGUCUCGAAGCUGCAAUGCAAAGUCUUCAACAUGACCAAUUGGUGAUUGCAGGGCUAGAGGUAGAGCUGGAAGAUCUGCGCAAGGCAGCCCGGCUAUGUGAUUGACAUGGUCCAACCGGAGACCGACCCAACCGCACCGACGCUAAUUCUCGAUCACCUGAAGGCUGCACCUGGUCGGCUGAAGGAGCUGCUGAAGGACACCGCGGUGGAGUGCGUCAAGAAUGUCUUGGUAGUGUUGAAUACACACUUCCCACGGAUUCCCUUGGAGCGUGCUGGUGCAGGGGUUGCGGCUGACUUCAACACAGAGAAGCUUCCAGAACUGGCCGACCAGUUUAAUGAUGUAGUGGAAAACAUUGUUGAUGAGCUGGAACUGUAAAAUGAAACUUGUGGUAUAUCAAACUAUGUGAUAAUACAUGUGAUGUAAUUGUCUUAACGUAUGUGGAAAUAAAGGGGCUCCAACCCUUUCUUGGUGUAUACGACAGGACAGCGUGUAGCUGAGGCCUGUAGCCGCUAAGCACCUAGCCUUACCUGACCAGCGUCCUACUGAGAGCGGAUCUCGAGCUUGUAGGAGAGGUAAACACAAGGUUGUCUAGGUUUUGCGAGCUAGGACGCUGACCACACAAGUUAGUCGUAUUGCCUUGAGAGGGGAGGAGAAGGAUGCAAGACCUAAAGGUCAACGCCUGGGGGAAGCCCUUGAGCUUGAGAGCGGGUGGUCUGUCGAACAGGUCGGACAGCCCGCGUUUGUUAGGAAUAGCUUGGGCAAAGGAAUAGGAAGAUAGUAGGUACGCAAAGAACCUUGGAGGUUUUAUUCAUUCAGUAAAAAGGGAAAAAAGAAUACAUAGCUUUUAAGCCCUAAGGGUAGAAGCGCCGCAGGUGCUCGAUGUUCCACAGAUUGGGGACGCCUGAACCAUCCACCCAUUGGAGUCAAUAGGUGCCUAGCUGAAUGACUUCUUUGACGAUGAAGGAGCCCUCCCAAGGGGUGACCAGCUUGUGCAUGUCCUUGGUGGACUGGAUCCGACAAAGCACAAAAUCUCCAGCAUUGAAGGAGCGUUCUUUAACAUUUCGAUCGUGGUAGCGCCGUACCUACUGCUCGUGGCAUGCAUGCUGGAUGAGAGCCGCCACUCGAUGCUCCUUGAGGUUGUCGAUGUCAACCCACCGGCUUGUUUCCGCCUUGCCUUCCUCAUAGUACUGGAUGCAUGGGGCGCCAAAGGCUACGUCGGACGGCAAGAUGGCCUUUGAGCUGUAUACCAUGAAGAAGGGAGUGUAGCCGGCAGCCCAACUUUUCAGGGUCUGUAGGCCCCAGAGGGACUGGAGGACCAUCCCAUUCACACAUUCAACUUGUCCAUAUCAGCGUGGGUGCGAUACUGAGGAGUAGUAUACGUUGAUGAGGUUGUCCUGGCAAAAGUCCCAGAACUCGAAUCCUGUGAACUGCUUGCCAAGGUCAGUGAUGAUCCUGUUUGGAACUCCAAAGCGAUGUGCGAUCUCGUUUAUGAAUUGGGCGGCUUUAGCCGACUCGAUGUUGGUGAUAGCCUUGACCUCAAUCCAUUUGGUGAAUUUGUCAACAACCACAAAGAUGUGAGUGUAGCUGCCUGGGGUGAUCUUGAAGGGUCCGACCAUAUCCAGCCCCUAGCAUGCGAAGGGACAAGAUGGUGGGAUGUGCGUAGGGCUUGGGCUGGUAGGUAUUGUUGCUUGGAGAAGAAUUGACACCCUUUGCGCCUUUGGAUGAGCUCCUUUGCAUCGGCUACCACUAUUGAGCAAUAGAAGCCAGAGCAAAAUGUCUUGCCGACCAAAGUGCCCGACACACCUUUGCAUGUGCUCGAGUGAAUAUCGUGAAGGAAGUCAAUGCGCUUACUGCGUAGAAUGCACUUCAUCAAGAUGCCUGUAGACGCAGCCUUUCUGUAGAGUUCCUUCCCAAUGACGACGUAGUUUGCGCUGCGCCAAGCUAGUUUCUCAUGUUCUAUCUUGUCCUCUGGCGCUAGCUGGUCGGUGAUCAAGGCUAUGAACAGAGCGCACUAGUUUUCUUCUGCGUCAAUCAUCAUCGGUUGAAGCCUCAGCACUGCCGUUGACCUAGUCCAGGUCCAGAAUCUUGAUGGAAGGUUUCUGGGGAUCUUGUACGAAGAUGCCGAUCGGGACUUGUGCAUGCUUGGAGCUGAGCUUGGACAGGACCUCAGCGGCGACGUUGUGUUCCCUAGGGACAUGAUGGAACUCGAGACCAUCGAAGUAGGCCUUAAACUUGUGGAUUUUUGCAUAGUAAGUAUCCAUGGUUUCCUUGGUGCAGUCCCAGUUCUUGUUGACCUACUCGAUGAUGACCUUGGAGUUGUCGUACGCAACGAUGCGCUUGAUCCCGAGGGAAGCGACAAUGCGGAGGCCGUGGAUGAGAGCCUCGUCCUCAACGCCAUUGUUGGUGGCCUUAUAGUGGAUUUGAAGAACGUACUUAAGUUGCUCGCCCUUGGGGGAUAUGCAGAGGACCCCCACGUUGGCUCCUUCGAGGUUGAGGGCACCAUCAAAGUACAUUAUCCAAUGUUCCGGCCUCUCCAGGCAGGACGACUUCUAGAUCUCUGUCCAUUCAGCCACGAAGUCGGCUAGGAUCUGCGACUUGAUCACAUGACGUGAGCAGAAAUUGAGUUCAAACUCCCCGAGCUCUAUAGACCAUUUGACAACUCAGCGUUGACAUCCCUAUUGUGGAGGAUUUUGCCAGGUGGGUAUAAGGAUACUACCUGGAUCUUGUGCACCUGGAAGUAGUGGCGUAGCUUGGGACACAAGAUCAGGAUUGCGUAGAGCAAUUUUUGAACUUGUGUGUAGCGAAUCUUGGAGUCGCUUAGGACCUCACUGACAUAGUAGACCGGUCUCUGCACCAUGUGUGCAUGGUCGGGCUCUUAUUGCAGAGAUGUAGAGUUGAAGCGUUUCCUGGUCGGCUGGGGCCAUCAUAACGGGGGGAGUUGUAUGGAAGGCUUUGAGCUCUUUGAGUGCCUUGCUAGCCUCGUCAUCCCACUCGAACUUGUCCACAUUUUUGAGUAGAUUGAAUAAGGUUAGUCCCUUUUUGCCGAGUUUGUUGAUGAAGCAGCUGAGGGCUGCCAUCAUGCUGGUGAGUCUCAUGACAUCUUUCUUGUUAGCUAGCCUUGCCAUGUUCCUGAUUACAUCAACCUUGACGGGAUUGGUUUCGAUGCCACGCUAGCUGACCAUAAAGCCUAGGAGCUUUCCAGAUGGGACACCGAAGACACAUUUGCCUGGAUUGAGUUUCCAACGGAUAGGCUCGGAGGCUGUCGAAAGUUUUUGCAAGGUUGGCUAUGAAGCUCUCCUCAUCCUUAGUCUUGUCAGCCACGUCGUCGACGUAAGCCUUGAUGUUCUUGUGUAGCUGCUUCGUGAGGCAACUCUAUAUUGCCUUCUGGUAGGUGGUGCCAGCAUUAUUUAACCCAAAGGUCAUGGUGUUGUAGCAGUAGAUGCCGAAGGGCGUUAUAAAUGCCACUUUGUCUUCGUCGGACGGGUCGAGGGUGAUCUGGUGAUAGCCCGAGUAGCAGUCGAGUAUGCACAACAGGGUGCUACCAACCAUAGAGUCUACGACCUGGUCGAUGCGCGAAAGAGGAAAGGGGUCCUUAGGGCAGUGCGUGUUGAGGUCGGUGUAAUCGAUAUACAUUCUCCAUUCACCGGUUUUUUUUCUUAUAAGGACUGGAUUUGCUAACCAGUCGGGGUGCUUACUUUCACGAAUGAAACCUGCAGCUAAGAGCUUAUUGAGUUCUACCCUAAUGGCCUCCUUGCGAUCAUGGGCAAAACGGCGAAGCUUUUGCUUGACUGGUCUUGCUGUCUUGCUCAAGUCCAAGGAGUGCUCAGCCAGCUCCCGCGUGACACUAGGCAUAUCGGAUGGCUUCCACACGAAUAUGUUUGAGUUGUCCCGGAGGAAAUUGGUGAGCACAAGUUCCUAUAUGGGGAAGAGGUCGGACCCUAUGAGGGCUGUCUUGGUCGGGUCUUCCAGGUCGAGGUAGAUCUUCUUGAUCUUGGGGUCAGACUGCAGCGCUGUAGGCGUUGGCUCCAUCUCUGGGAUCGCGAGCUGGUCUUGGUCCACCUUCUAGGCAUCAGCAAGCAUGGUGGUGGCUUUAGCCGAGUACUCCAGGGCUUCCACGAGCUGCACCGCCUCCGUGUCGCAUUUGUAUGAUAUCUCGAUGUCACCGUAGAUGGAGAGGACACCGUUUGGAGCCGGCAUCUUGAGGAUGAGGUAGGUGUGAUGCGGAAUUGCCAUGAACCUUGCGAGCAUGGGUCUGCCAAAGAUGGCAUGGUAGGAAGUCUUGAAGUUGGUCACGUCGAAGUUGAGGUGCUCUGUACGGCAGUUGUUGGGCAUGCUAAAGGUGACUGGCAAAACAACUCAGCCGAUAGGAUAGGAUCGUUUGCCAGGCACGAUGCCGUAGAAGGGGUCUUCAUAGGGCUAGAGCCGCUCAAAAUUGAAGUCCAUGCGCCUCAGGGUUUCAGUGAAGAUGAUGUUGAGCCCACUGCCACCGUUAAAUAGCAUUUUGGGGAGGAGAGCCUGAUCUAUGGUCAGGCAGACCACCAGCGGGUAGGACCCAGGAUCUAGAAUAUGUACCUAGUGAUCUUCCUUGGAGAAGGUUAUGGGCAUCUCUGACCAGUGCAUAUACUGGACUGACCGUAUGGAGACGAAGUGCACCUCUCGCUGGUGUAGCUUGUGUUUGCGGUUGCUACAGAACGCCUUGGGGCCACCCAUGAUGAUGUUGACUUCACGGUUCGGCCGUUGGAACUCUUCGUUCUGGUCGGCGAUGGUCCAGUGGGCGUCUAGGUUUGGCUGGUCGUGGCGCUCUUCUCUAUGUUGAUCAUUGCGGUCGUCGUGUCGGCGAUUGUCGCGGUCAUCAUGGUCAUCACGGUGGCGGUCACGAUCAUUGCGAUCAUCAUAGCGGUGGUCGCGUUUGUCGCGGCGAUAGCCGCCACAAUCAUCAUGGUCAUUGCGGUGGUGGUUGUUGCGACGAUUGCCAUCCCUACGGUAGUCGUUGCGGCGAUGUCGCUUGUACUCCACUGGGGUGCCGAGCUCUUCCUUGAGGACUAUGAAGUCCCAAAGAUUGUGACGUGCGUUCUUAUGGAAGGGGCACGGAGCGUUCAAGGUGUCAUCAAACUCUUCCCGGAGGAAUGUUGUUGGUCUGGCGGGGUCAGCUUCAGCAGUGAGGACCUCGGGGGCCCUUUUUCAAAGUCGGGAAGACUUCGGUCAUGCUUGGUGUUCCUCAUAGGUCGGCAGUUCGUGGUCGUCGUUCUAGCGAUGCUUGCCGCCUUGGAACUGUACUUGUGCCGCCUCCUCUGUGUCGGCCUGAUCGUUGAUGAGCUGCAUCAUCUACCUGACCGUCUUAUGGGCAACCUCAUACAGCUUGCAGAACAUGUUGCAGUUCGAUAGGCCGGAGCGGAAGUACCAUAUGAUGUCGCGGUCCUCGAUGCCAGCCAGCAUGUUGUAGUUUUCGAAGAAGCGGUUCACGUACUCUUGGAGAGUUUCCUUCUUCCGCUGGCGGACUUGCCCUAGAUUCUCCGUGUUUCCAGAUCGGCUGUUGGUAGCAUGGUAGUUCUGGGUGAAAGCCCUAGCGAGCUAACCCCAGGAGUCGAUGCUUCUUGACGGGAGGUUCUCUAGCCAUAGGAGAGGGACGAGACCCAUCACCACCGGGAAGUAGGUGCCCAUAUGGUCGUAGGUGCCAUUGGCGGCUUUCACCUUGGUGUUGUAUGUCUUGAGCCAUAUGGUGGGGUCGAAAUGGCCAUCAUACUUUUUGUUGAUGGUCGGCUUGAAUGAAGCAGGCCACUCAAUGGCCCUGAGGUAGGAGUGAAGGUGGUGAAACCAUCGACCGCUGUGUCAUCAUCGUCCUCGAGGUUGUACAUGACGGGUGGUGCCCUGGGGUGUCCACCGUUGUUACACCAGGGCGGGACGUAGGCGUCUUCAAGGGCGCCGUAAAUGCGGUCAUAGUUGGCACGGUGACGCAUCUCAUCUUCUUGUCAUCGGCGGUCCUCCUGUUACGCGUUGCGGUCUAGCCUGCCAGGAGUGCUGUAGUCGCGGUUGUACUCAGCGCGGUGGCGGAGCUCGGCUUCUUCGCGCUCUUGGUGGCGGUUGUUGAGGUCGGCACGGAGGUCGCGGCGGUCGUGUAAUUCUUCAUGAAGGUCACGUUGCCGACCUUGUCUGCCACAGUCCUCUCUCAUGCCACAACGGCGGUUGUUGUGGUUGUCGAGUUGGUGGGCGUUGUUGGCAGGUGGGUUGGCGGGCUGCUCCACUUCAUCUUCACGGAUGGGUUUCAGCCGACCCCCCACGCGGUUAUCGUGAUCGCCUCGGUGGUGACCUGAUCUGCUAUGAAUGGAUCGGCUUCGGGAGUGCCGAGUAGAUGUAGACCGGGAGUAUGCUGACCGGCUGUAGGGCCACUCUUCGAUCUAGGCGUUGGCGACGUGGAUACGUGCCUGCAUUUGCCGGAGCGGCUCCAAGUCUAGAAGGUUUUCCAGGUCGGCAACGGUAGCCCCAAGGUUAGCUUGGGGUGUGGUGAAGAUGUUGUGGUCGGCCUCCUCGAGGUCGGCUUGAAUAUUGCGAGUGCACACAGGGAGUCUGUGUCUACCCCGAGUACCGUCCUGGUCACGUUGUCGCCAUCGUUGGCGUGCGAUGGGUCAGCGUUGGCGGUGAGCGAUAGUCAGCGCUGGUCGCCUGCAGCCUCGGCUCCCGCAUUAGCAGCACGUUGUUAGUGUUGCUGGGCGUCGGCUUGCUCCCGCUGGUGCCGUACUGCACAGUCCUAGUUCUUGGCAUUGCGGCCUACUUCCUGAGAAGAGGUUUCACCAUCCCUGGGUGGAUCGACGGCGGAGACCACAAAGGCUUCACGAUCUGGCAUGGUGGAGUUGCUCACAACGUCAUCUCCGUAAGGGUUCGAAGUCAGGAUGAUGUGGAGGAUCUGAAACUCGCCACAGUUCAAAAACUUGGCGGGUUCGGGUGGGCCUUCAAAUUGGAUCUGAAGAGGCUGCACGAGUUUCAUGGAAAACACGGCAACCGAGUUCCUUAGACCAAAGGCGACACGGGAAGGAUCCUGCGCCAACCUUGUUGAGUGUAGCGCCGCCUCGAAGAGGUUGAUGCACUCAGCAAUAGUGUUGCUGAUGCGAUCUAGCCCCGUGAUCAAGUCGGAGGCGUGGGUGGGCGUGUUGCCGUGAGGAUGUGUGGAACCCUCUCUGAGAGAGAGAUCACCGACCUGCUGGGCAAGCAGCAUGAUGAUCCUCGGGUGAAGACCUUGCUCCAUCGAAGUAGAUCCGACGGAUGCUGAGCUGGCGGCGGACAUCGAAUUGUCGAAGAAGGCGGUGGAGUCGGAGUCCACCGGCAUGCUCCCAAAGUGAAGCUGGAUCGGAUUGGCGAAGAUGUCCUUCAUGCUCUCGGGGAAGACAACGUCGGGGCAAAAUGCCAUCGAGCUCGCUGGGAAGGAUCUCACAAUCACCCGUACCUGGCACACCAAUUGUCAGAUUUAGUAGCCCGACAGUCCACCAGGGGUUACCCAAGGGGUUGAUUUGUAGGUAGGAAGGAUUGCGAUACCAAAAACUCGAAGGUGAUCACAAGAACACGAGGGUUUAGAUAGGGUCGGGCCUCCGGAAAGUAAUACCCUAUGUCCUGUAUUUUGGUAGUUUGUAUUGCUUGAGAAUUGAGAUGCUCUCGAGAGGCGCCCUUGGCCACCUUAUAUAGGCUGACGACCUAGGGUUACAAGUCAGUUUGAAUCUAACCUAGCCGGUUGUUACAUGGAAAACAAUCUGAGUCGGAUUACAACACGUAUCCCGCAAUAUCCGGAAAGAUUUGAAUCGCUUAGCCUCCUUGACUUGUGCUCCAAGUAUCUUCUCAUCCUUGGCCCGCAUGUUCUGUUUGGGUGGGCCCACUUGUCAGGACCGGCCAGUAUCCUAGUCGGUGGGGACCCAUGGGAUACCCAUAUCCCUCAUAUUAUAUUAGGGUUUGUGCACAUCUACGUUCGUAAAGAUGACUGUGCAUGCAUGUAUAUAUGAGCGUCUUGCAAAAACACACAUAUUGAUCACCAAAUUAAAUCAGUGGCCCAUAUCAUAUCAUGAUUGCUUAUCAUGACCGACUUGGCAAUGAUGUCAGAGAUGCAUAAGGUGAUGCAAGCCUUGUGUUUAAUUUUGGCUAUUUCUGUUAAUUUUGCAAGUUUGUGCAUGUGAGAAUAUGAAUAUGGCAUAUGGCAUUCUUUAGCGUUGGUCCUUGCAUUAUUUGGAUGGUGCGGGGAUUAAGAAUUGCGCACAUACAUCAACAAGUAAUUGUUAUUUGGAAGUACUCCCUCAGUCCCUAAAAGAAUGCAAUUAUGGAACAGUGUCAUGAUUUACUGUGUCAAGUUUGACCUAUUAUAGAUGAAAAAGUAUAAAUAUUUAUAAUAUCAAAUAAAUAUCAUUAGAUUAAUUACGAAAUGUAUUUUCAUAAUAAAUUAAUUUGGAGCCAUAAAUGUGAAUAUUAUUUACUACAAACCUGGUCAAACGUGAAGCACUUUAACUGGCACGUAUACCAUAGUUGCAUCACAGAGGGAGUAUCUAAGUAUCUAUCUGUAUGUGGGCGCGUGAAUCGAACAGCCAAGAGGCGAGCGCUGAUUGUGAUUGAUUCUAAAAUUAAAUUGAUUCCAACGCCUGCCGGCUACUUGUUUAUUCAAUCUUCUCUUGUCGCUAGAUUACGAGAAUCUUGCACUGUUUGAUAAGCAACGACGAGAGGAAAUUUAUAUAGUAGAAGACUUUGACUGAGCAGCCAGCUGGUCAAGAUUAUCAAACGCAAGCAACCUACGUGAUAUUGGUGAUGCAUGACGAGCACUUGGUGAUGCAUUCGGUGACGCACACCUUGUGAUUAACUUUGUUUGUUUAUGUUAAUUUUGCAAGCUAGGCUCCACGUGAUAUAGGCAUUCUUUGUCGCUGGUCCUUGCAUUAAUUAUUGGACGGCGCGUUGUCUGUAAUUUACUAUAUUAUAUAAUGUAGUAGUGAUGAGCACUUUUACCAGAAAGAGUUGACUGAGUUAAUGGAUUCGCUUGUUGGCUAAUCUGAAUCGACUUACUUAAGUGUGGUGUUACCAGGCUUGGAAAGAAAACUUCUUUAUGUGUUUGAUUUCCCUAAUUUACUGGUUGGCCACUCAAAUAUUAAAAAUACAUCAGCAAUUAUUGUUACUUGCAUUAUUUGGACGGCGCGGAUUAAAAGUUAAAAAUUGAUUCCAACGCCUGCCUGCUGCUUCUUCAUUCAAUGAGUCUCGAUCACGCACGUCACGGAUGCAAUGCCGACUACUUAUUUUAAAUGUCUUGUCUUAGCAGUUGUCAAUAUUCUUGAGCAGAACACGCCUUAAUUCGUGAUAGUCUUGAAUCUUCUAUCAUGUCUAAACGCUCGGACGUGAGACAAAGAUCUCCGUAGUAGCAGUGCCAGUACGCGUACAUGAGGCAAAGAUCUCACACGCAGUGGCAAUGGCUAAACAGAGACUGAGAAUCUAAACGUAAUAGGCUAACUACUUGGGACAAUUAUAGCCUUUCACUAUCCUAAUGGCCUUUCACUAUACUUAAUGGCUAAUGGCCUUUCACUAUACUUAAUGGCUAAUGGCCUUUCACUUUAAAAAUCACAUUCAAUUGACACAAGCUAAUGGCCUUUCACUAUACUAAUUAAGCACCAUUACGAGGUUAAAAAAACGGUGAGGUCUAGGAUUUCGCCGGGAGGGGAACCUUUUGAAGUUUUGAUUGGACAUGACAUUAGUGCGGGUUUUUGUGCAACGUGCCAAUUUCUUUUGUAUUAACCACGUAUGCAGAAUAAGCACUAUAUGCACACAUCGAACAACUUAGUGUAUUGUGGGAACAACAUUAGCAAUUUUUUAAACUAAAAUGAAAGAAAUGAUGCGCUUUGUGUAUGAUUGAUGCACUUUACUAUUUCUUUCCAGAGCACGCAAUGCACGCAUAUUCAUUUAGAAGAAGAGAAUUGAUACAACGCGAGCCAAACCGGACACUCUAAGAUUCUGUUUGGGAGGGUUUCUCCCAAAACGGAUUUACCGGUGAAGCUAAAGCCAGUGAAGCUAAAAAUAAUGGCUUCAUCUGGCUUCUAGUUCAUUUUAACAUCGACUUAAAAAUAACUUCACACUACAAUACCUCGUUUUGCACAAAACAUGUGAAGCCGAAGCUAAGAUAAGCCUUGCCAAACGGGGGAUAAACUGUUAGGCAAAACAAUGCGCGACCUACGCAACGGAUAGAUAUAUAAAGCGAGAAGCACCUACGUCACAUUAAUUCCACACCUAGGAACAAUGGCCACCCCACUGCUCCCCUCCGAGCUCCUCGCCGGCCUGCCGCAGCAAUGGCUGCUCGGCCUCUUGCUUCUUCUCCCUGUAGUCCUGCUUGCGUCGUCCUACCUCUUCCUGGCGACCAAGACGACCAAGAACGGGGCGCGUUGUCUGCCGCCGGGCCCCGCUCAGGUGCCUGUCCUGGGCAACCUGCACCUUCUGGGCCCGCUGCCGCACCGGAACCUCCGGGACCUUGCCCGGCGGCACGGCCCCGUGAUGCUGAUGCGGCUGGGCACGGUGCCGACGGUGGUGGUGUCCAGCGCGGCGGCGGCGCGGGAGGUGAUGAAGGAGCACGACAUCGACUGCUGCAACCGGCCCGUGUCGCCGGGGCCCAAGCGCAUCUCCUACGGCCUCAACGACAUCAUCUUCGCGCCCUACGGCCAGCAAUGGCGCGAGAUGCGGAAGCUCUUCAUCGUCGAGCUCCUCAGCAUGCGCCGCGUCCAGGCCGCGUCGUACGCGCGCGAGCAGCAGGUUGACAGGAUGAUCGCCCGCCUGAGCCGCGCGGCGCCGGCGACGGCGGUGGCGCUGAACGAGCACGUCUUCGCGGUGGCAGACGGCAUCGUCGGCACGGUGGCGUUCGGGAACAUCUACGGCACGGAGCGGUUCGCGCACAGGGAGCGGUUCCAGCACGUGCUGGACGAGGCCAUGGACGUGAUGGCCAGCUUCUCCGCCGAGGACUUCUUCCCCAACGCCGCUGGCCGCCUCGUCGACCGCGUCACGGGCCUCGUCGCCCGACGCGAGCGCAUUUUCAGGGAGCUCGACGCCUUCUUCGAGACGGUCAUCGACCAGCACACGGACCCCGCGCGCGUCGUCCCCGAGAACGGCGGCGACCUCGUCGACGUCCUCGUCAACCUGUGGAAGGAGAACCGGGGCACGUUCCGCUUCACCCGAGACCACGUCAAGGCCCUCAUCAUGAACACGUUCAUCGGCGGGAUCGACACGAGCUCGGUGACGGUGCUGUGGGCGAUGUCGGAGCUGAUCCGGAAACCGCGGGUGCUGAGGAAGGCACAGGACGAGGUAAGGGCCGUCGUGGGAGGCAAGCCGCGCGUGGACCCCGACGACGUGCCCAAGCUCCCGUACCUCAAGAUGAUUGUGAAGGAGACCCUGCGGCUGCACCCGCCGGCGACGCUGCUGGUGCCUCGGGAGACGGUGCGGGACGUGAGGAUCGGCGGGUACGACGUGCCGGCGAGGACGCGCGUGUUCGUGAACGCGUGGGCGAUCGGCAGGGAUCCGGCGAGCUGGGCGGACGCCGAGGAGUUCCACCCUGACAGGUUCGAGGGGAGCAACGUGGACUACAACGGCGGGCAUUUCGAGCUGGUGCCGUUCGGGGCGGGGCGGCGGAUCUGCCCGGGCCUCGCCAUGGGCGAGACGAACGUGAGCUUCACGCUGGCGAACCUGCUCUACUGCUUCGACUGGGCGCUGCCGGAGGGGAUGGCGGCGGAGGACGUGAGCAUGGAGGAGGCCGGCGGGCUGACGUUCCACCAGAAGAUGCCGCUGGUGCUGGUGCCCACAAGGUACCACAACCGCACGGCGACGGCGUAGACGCGUAGUGUAGUAGUAGUCGUCAUCGUAUCGUCGACGAUUGAAUAAAAGAUAAGCGUGCGCGACGUAGGUGCCUCACCUUGCAUCGUCGUUGCAGUAGCUUGGAGACUUGAAAACCCAAAAAAAACAAGAAAAAAAUGGUGACACUCUAAUGGGGGUGUACCCGCCUUGGAAAAAAAAAUUAGACGCAGGACUCCUGCAACCGAGUCCUGGUACAGGACGGCCCCAGAUCAUGACGCGUGGGCGGCCUUUCCGAUUGAAUGCCCGCGCCCCUCACGCAGAAGAUGAGCCAGCGCUGAAGAAGAAAAAAUAGACGAGCCAGGAAGACGAGCUCCUCGCGUGCGUGCCUCUCGAGCCGGCGGAAGACGAGCCGACGCUUAGCAGGGCUUCUCUGCGCCUGCAGGAGCUCCUCUCGCCUCAUGGCUCCAGAACGAAGGGUUAUAGAAUAUGUUUCCACAGCUCCUCUGAUUCGUUUCACAAACAAAAUUUGGGAUAUUUCAUAAUCUGAAAAAAUUUAAAUCUAAAGAGUGGUAUGUGGAAGUGAUGUGUAAAAAAAAUGACAGGUCCAUAAAGUGUAAUGUGAUCCUUAUCAAACAAUAUAAAUGAGUUACAUGGUACCAACUGACAUAAUACAGAUCCAAAUAAAAUUAUGUGUAACACAACAAAGGUUACAUGCUUUCUUGAUUUGGCAUUCCACCAAAAUUUAAUUUUUUAACAGCCGGCUGUAACGUGGGAGCUUGAUCAACUCCAAGUAAGAGAUUUGUAUAUCCUCCUUGCAUAUAAGGAGCACCCACGGUUGAAGAAUCUCUAUACAUAUUAAAUUGUGGCAUUAUGGCAUUAGCAUAGCCACCUUGGAUCAAUGGAGCAGCCAUGGACGAAGAUUGUCCAUACACAUCAUUUGCAGAGUUUGGCACCAUACUGUUAACAUCCUUUUCACCAUCAUUAAGAUCCUGUACCAAAUCAAAUAUGAAAAGUGGAUAUAGUCCAGCACAUAUGACUUACGAUAAAUAGUUGCAUAUAAGGAAUUCAAAUAUGAAAAGUGAACAUAGUCCAACACAUAUGACUUACGAUAAAUUGAUCUAGAUUAGCACCUUCGUAUACUUUGGAUCUAUUUUCUACUGCAGUUGUUGAAUCUUGUCCUAUAUUCAAACAUAUCAAGUUAACUAUAUUGGCAUAUAAUAGAUAAAAACAUGUAGAAUUGAUAUGAGUAGUAUCUUGCUUUUUACCACUUUUCUUUUUCUUCCCUUUAUUCUUUUCAAGGGAGAUGGUCCCUCAUUUACUCUUUCGGCCUUUUAUCACCCGAGGAAUUCUAAAUGAUAUUUUACCUCUCAAUGUAUCUGUAACACAGUUUGUUGAAACUAGAGGGACCUCACUGGCUUUUUGUUGCAUCCUGCUUAGAGAAUUAUCUGCUUUCAAGUCCAACUUACCUAUGGCAUUCUCCAAAUCAACAAGAAGUUCCUUGGACAGUGAACACUUCAAUGCAAUGGAUGUCGCCUUUCAUGCAAUACGUGCAGCAUACGUUUUCAAGCUUUCCUUUUCAAAUUCUUGUUUCUCAAUAUAGAAUCCUCUCUUUGCAUAUUUUGUCCAUCUAUUCAAUAUGUAUUGAGAUGGCAACAAGAAAAUAUCGUUUGCAUUGAAGACUUUGAGGGCAUGCUUGCACAGUAGACCUAUAUGUGGAUAUCAUAUUUCAUUACUUUGUAUUAUAAACUAUACUAUUGCAAUAAAGAUUUUUGUACGUACCUAUGGAUUCGUAUUUUCUGCGAGCACAUGUAAUGGUAAUAUCUGCUUUGUUGAACACAACCGUUGCUCCAUAAUCAGAGUACAUAUGUGUAACCGUAUAUGUCAAAAUUAACCCCUUGGUGUGUAACAACUUACAAGAGAAUGAAAAUUGUUCAUUAAAUUCUUUCUGAAACUCUUUAUACAUCCGGCUUGUAUAUGACUCGGCCGCAACUGGACUCUUUCGACGUGAUCGAAAAUCUUCAUCCAACUCGUUAUUACGAAGACUAGCAUAAACCUUAUCACAUUCUUCAAGUAGUUCCGAAAUACCCAGUUUCCUACGAAACCUUUUCUUGAAUACGUUAUUCAUACCUUCGCUUCUUUGAGUGGAGUUCAUAUCAGCUGUAAAUGAGUCACGGUAUACAACAGCCCACUUUGUCCUCAAAUCAUAUAGGUUUAACAUCCAUUCAUUGUCCUUAAGGUUGUACUCACACAACAAUUCAUCCCACUUCUUGUUAAAGUAAAACUCAGAUCUAUCUUCAUAGACACAUCCCUUAAAAUUAGGAAGAAAAUUCUCUGGAUGCUGCUGGAUUACAUGACCAAGAUGUUUAGCAGCAUUUAGAUAAAUAUGCCACAAACAAAGACGAUGACUUGUGUUUGGGAAUACAUAAGCAAUUGCACCUGCCAUGGCCGCAUCUUGAUCAGUGAAAAUUGUACUGGGAUGCUUACCUGACAUUGUUGUUAAAAAGGUUUCAAAUAGCCAAACAAAUGAUUCAAUAGUCUCAUUAAACAAUAAUGCAGCCCCAAAAAUUAUAGUAUGCUUGUGAUGGUUGGUUCCCAGGAGCGGAGCAAAAGGCAUUUCAAACUUAUUAGUCUGAAACGUGGUGUCAAAAGACACGGCAUCACCAAAACAUGUGUAAUCCAUGAUAGAUUGACCGUCUGCCCAAAAGAAGUUAGCCAUCCUGCCAUCUUCUUCAUUUAUUUGAAUGGCAUAAAAAAAUGUUGGAUCCUCUACCUGCUUAUUUUUUAAGUAUUCCAACAAUGUUUGUGCGUCAUUGGAUUCUAAGUAUUUUCUGCGCUGCCGACCAAUCUCAUUGUUACAAUCAAUCCGUGAGAAUGGCACUUUAUCGGCUCCUCCAUAAAAUUGCACCAUAAACUCAAACACUUGGGCUGGCUUCAUCCCACCCUCCCUCAUCUGGCCAAUUAGCUUCUUGUCCACUUCUUGAACACGUCGUUGGGACCUAAGCUUCUAUCUUUUAUUUGGACUUGCAAGGUAAUGGUUGUGAUCAAGCACAACCUUCUGCAUUGACCAAACCCCCUCCUUGCUGACAAUAAACUGAAUACGAGCAUCACAACCUGCCCUUGUAGUGUCCUUUGAUGACUCAAUUUGUCGAUGACCUUGACUACUGCAAACUAUAUAUUUGAGAUAGAUACUGCCAUCUCUUCGACGCUUUGUGUCGCUCUUUCUAAUACUGAACCCAACCUUGCCUGCAUAGGUGUUGUACAUUCAUAAGCUUCCUCCUCGGAUUGAAAAGACAUUCCAACUUCAAGAACGAUGAAAUAAUUUUUUGCAACUUCAUCAACCACCUAUUGUACAAUGAGUCGAGAAUUAAAGGUGCCUUGCAACAAUACAUAUUAUUAUACUAUCACUUCAAUUUAUUAUUCACGUUCCUUCAAUUACUCAUCCGGCCCCUGAUCACCGUUACUGUCACUCGCUCCGUCGCCGCUGCCCGGCAGGGCAUGCUCCAACGACUCCACCUCCAGACCCGAUGGCACCAUAUGGAUCGCAAGGUCGCCGCCACUUGAUUCUGCACGCGCGACAGCUCAAACCCUAGGCGGCGAUAAUACGGAAGACGAGAGCUCCUGCAUGCGGUGAUUCCGUUAGUAGAAAAUCGAGGCACAGUUCAAGGACCUCAUGCGCUACCUCUGGAUGGAAGCCCUGCCUCGUCGAGCGCAUCUAGGCCGCCGUCGUUGCUGGGGCGCCGCAGACCGGCACCGCGGACACGCCUCUACGCAUCGCCAGGCAGCACGGCGUCGACGACGGUCUCUACGCGUCGCCCGGCAACGCCUGCUGGCCCGCGAUCCCGCGAUCACCAGCUGCUGAACAACCCCGCCGUCCCGGAGCUGUCGAGCACCACGGCCGGGUCGUCAUCUUCGUCCUGAGAUUAUGGAAGGCUCCAGAUGUUGUUCGUGAAACGAAUCAGAGAAGGGCUCGUCAGCGCCAUCUCGUCUUCCGCCGGCUCGUCUUCCGCACGCGCACAAGGGGCUCGCUCGUUCCUAGCUCGUCUUCGUGGCUUUCCUUCAGCGUGGUGGCUCGUCUUGCUAGCUCGUUUCUGGCUCAUCUAUUUUUUUCUUCUUCAGCGCGGGCUCGUCUCCUCGCGCGGGCGUUCGAUCGGGAAGGCUACCCACGCGUCGUGAUCUGAGGCCAUCCUGCACCAGGACUCGGUUGCAGGAGUCCUGCGUCUAAUUUUCUUCCGGAGAGAGAGAGGAGAGAGAUGGGACCGGCUCCUGGAUUCUGCAAGUUUGAUACGGGUUCGCUGAGCCGAGCGCCCGAGCCGGAGUGUCUCGGUCGGUGACGGCGCUUGGACACAGAAUUAAAUGGUUAGUGAUGAUAUCGUGAGCGCUUUCGUGCGUGUAAGAAAUUUCAGUCACGUUGAUCAAAUUGGCGUUCGUGCUUGUGGCCGCGUGUCAAAUUCAGUGCAUGCAUCGCUUGUCUCGUGGCAUGCAUGGCACCCAGACGAUGAAUAAGGGGUACAGCAUAGUACCUGUCCCAUCGGAUGUUUGGAUAUUAAUUAGGAGUAUUAAAUAUAGUCUAAAUUACAAACUAAUUGUACAGAUGGAGUCUAAUUCGCAAGACGAAUCUAUUAAGCCUAAUUAGUUCAUGAUUUGACAAUGUGGUGCUACAACCAUUUGUUAAUGAUGGAUUAAUUAGGCUUAAUAGAUUCGUCUCACGAAUUAGUACAGAGGUUAUAAUUAGAUGUUAUAAUUAACUCAUGUUUAGUCCUUCUAAUUAGUGUCCGAACAUCUACGUCAGAAGAUCCUGGCCGGCAUGGCACCAUCGCUUUUGGAACCGGAUCCCCUGAUGACGUACACGUAGCCCCCAGCUGACGGUGCAUAUCGUGGAUGCGGGUUGGCAGAGGACGACUGCACGCUGAAGUCAACCGGGGGCAACGUGGCAGCUGAUCCGGCGGCGCCCCUCCUUUCCACGGGAUACCCACAUGGGCAAAAGAAAGAAACGUGGGGAAUGUAGGUUUGUUUCUGUAGAAGCUUUUAAAGUUCCUGUAAUAUCGAAUGUUUAGAAAGUAAUUAGGAAUAUUAAAUAUAGAUUAAUUACAAAACCAAUUGUACAGAUUGAGACUAAUUUGCGAGACGAAUCUAUUAAGCCUAAUUAGUUUAUGAUUUGACAGUGUGGUGCUACAGUAAACAUGUGCUAAUGAUGGAUUAAUUAGGUUUAAUAGAUUCGUCUCGGGAAUUAGCCUCCAUCUGUGUAAUUAGUUUUAUAAUUAGCUCAUGUUUAGUCCUCCUAAUUAGCCUCUGAAUAUUCGAUGUAACCUGAAUUUUAGUCCAGACUACAGAUACAAACAUCCCAUAAUCUCACAGAUAUAGGUCAUGGUACAGCGAUGGGGAAAAACGCUUCUCAUAAGCUGCACGAUUAUAUAUCAUCUCAGCCAAACAGAAAAAAAAUAUCCCAGGAAGCCUACGCCAGCCCAGGCACUAAUACAAGUUGCAUUGGUCCAUGUUCAUCUCCUAGAGACAUGCAUAUUCAGCUUGGGGCCUAGGGCGAUUCUAGGUCCGCCCCUGGGGAAGGAUACAUGAGAGCAAAUAAUAAAGAUGCCAUUAGAUCAAACCACAUUCUAUAUAUGAUUAUUAACUUCCAAUUCAUGCAUUACCUACAACCUCGAUUAUAAUAAUAGUUCCUAUAUAUUCCACACAAGUGCUCCAAUAUAUCCUUUAUUGAUGACCAACAUUUCACAUUGUUGUCAGCCUCACAAACACUAUAGAAGCAAUAGUACUCAACAAUGACCAUUAACACUUGCACUUAUAUCUGGUGGGCACGAGCACAACCGGCGUUUUCUUAUGGACCGUGAGCCCUCCGGCCUCUUCCAUGCUCACGUCCUCGGGCCUCACGCCUCGUGGGAGCUCCCAGUUGAAGCAGUAGAGCAGGUUGGCCAGCGCGAACUCUGUGGUGGCCACUCCCAAGGCCAUCCCGGGGCACAUCCUCCGGCCGGCGCCGAAGGGCACAAGCUCGAAGUGUGUCCCGUUGAAGUCGACGUCCUUCCCCUCGAACCUGUCCGGGUUGAACUCCUCCGGGUUGUCCCACCUCGCGGGGUCCCUGCCGGUAGCCCACACGUUCAUCAGGAUCCUUGAGCAGAACACGUCUUAAUUCAUGAUAGUCUUAGAUCUUCUGUCAUGCCUAAAUGCUAGGACGCGAGACAAAAAUCUUCGUAGCAGUAGUGCUAGUACGCGUACACGAGGCUAAGAUCUCACACGGAGUGGCAAUGGUUAAAUAGAGUCUGAGAGCCUAAACGUAAUAGGCUAACUACUCGGGACAAAUAUGGCCGAAACAAGAGUAUGACACACAACAUUUAUAUUAUAUUCAUCACUAAAUAAAUUUCAGUAGUUCUAAAUUCUACAAAUAUGCUACAUAAUGUAUGCAUUUCUUUUUUGAGGUCAAGUUUCGACGACGAUUCUUCAGGACGCUCAGCGUACCUGUAAAGGCUCCGCUAGCUCCCAGACUCGGGGGCUAAGCGCCAAUUACUACUGGAAUAUCUCUAGUGGCUCAACUUGCUUACAAGCUUGGGGGUUAAAGCGUCAAUUACUACUUGGAAUACAUCCGGUAGCUCCGCUAGCUCUCAAACUCGGGGGCUAAGUGCCAAUAACUACUCAAUGUGGCUCCUACGGCUCACUUGGCGUAUAAGCUCGGGGGCUGGACACCGCAAAACUAUUCGGAUGAUGAGUUGCGUGAAGACUAAAAACCCUUGGAUUGAUUAUUUAAUCAUUCCAAGGCUCGGGGGCUGAUAAGCUACACUCGACAGUUGAUUUUUUCAAGAUGAAAGAAGAAGAUUCAAGAUUUUAUUGACGCUCAGCCUGAUUCUUCAAUUCAACCUAACGCUCGGGGGCUACUCCAUAUGGAAUGCGACUUCCACCGCUCUCCAUAUCACAUUCCAAAGAUAAAGAUUACAAAAUCAAGACAAUCAAGGGCUUGAGCACACCAUAGCCUCAUGACAACUUUGAGGAACUUUGAAAAUUCAACCAGACAAAGUACUCGAAAAGCACCAAAACUACUUGGCGAGGAUUUGAAAAGCACUCAAGGCUGCUGCAUUCGACUAUAAAGCGCUUAGGAGUUUGUCGGGGAUAGGUCUCCAGUACCCGCAAGGAAGGAGUAAGACAAACUCCUACUAGAAUUUCUCUAUAAUCCUACUAGGACUCAUACCAUGUAAUCCUACUAGGAGUCCUACUUAUAACCGACUAGUAAUCCAUCCCCUGAGCAUAUAAAGGAGGGCACUAGAUCAGUAGGCGAAGACCUCAUAGAACCACAACAAAGAACCAAAUCCUCAACACCAAACAACACCCAAGCGCAGGGCGCAACAUAUAACACCCCAAGCAGGACGUAGGGUAUUACGCUACUCUGGUGGUCCGAACCUGUAUAAAUCCAUGUCUUGUGUCCUCGCUUUUACCUUUGAGUUUCAGGUCCGACGAUCCCCCACCAAACAAUCUACUAUCUCGGGAUAUCCCUCGGUAGGUUGCCAGGUAUAAAACACCGACAGGACCCUCCACUUCGAGUUUUAGGUCUGACGAUUCCCCACCAAAUAAUCUACUAUCUUGGGAUACCCUUCGGUAGGUUGCCAGGUAUAAAACACCGACAGGACCCUCUAGCUCUAGUUUCAUAUCUUUUACUGUACAUACACAUAUGUAUAGUAAAAUCUAUGAAUCAAAAAAGUCAAAAUGACCGAUUAGCUGCUUAGCUCACACUCCAAACAUCGACUGCUGCAGCCACCAAAUUAAAUCAAUGGUCCUUUCGAUGCAUGAUGAGCACUCGGUGAUCCGAUUCGGUGACGCACACCUUGUGAUUAAGGGGGUGUUUGGAUAUGAGGCGUUUAACUUUAACAGUGUCACAUCGGAUAUUCGGAUGCUAAUUAGGAGAACUAAACAUGAGCUAAUUAUAAAACUAAUUGCAGAACUCUGUGCUAAUUCGCGAGACGAAUCUAUUAAACCUAAUUAAUCCAUCAUUAGCAAAUGGUUACUGUAGCACCACAUUGUCAAAUCAUGGACUAAUUAGGCUUAAUAGAUUCAUCUCGCGAAUUACACUCCAUCUGUGCAAUUAGUUUUGUAAUUAGCCUAUAUUUAAUACUCCUAAUUAGUAUCCAAACAUUUGAUGUGACGGCUGUUAAACUUUAACACCUUGUUGCCGACCCUUUGUUUGUUUCUGCUAAUUCUCCAUGUGAUAUAGGCAUUCUUUGUGGCUGGUCCUUGCAUUAAUUAUUUGGACCGCGUGGAUUAAAAAUACAUCAGAAAUUAUUGUUAGGCGUGGAUUAAAAAUUAAAAAUUGAUUCCAACGCCUGCCUGCUGCUUCUUCAUUCAAUAGUCUCGAUCACGCACGUCACGGAGUGCUGUGUCAGCAGCUAUGUAUACCUCCGUUUCUUUGUAUGAUUUCCUGCUGUUGGCGUCUUUUUCGAUCAACAUAUACGAGUGCGCUAGAUCGCACGGGUCGCGAACAGACCGAAUAAAAUAGAGGCUGCACAGGCCGGUCAGGCUGGUCUGGCAACCCGGUCAGACCGGUUUCCUAGGGUUUAGCUUGAGCCGGUUGUUCGAGGGGAUAAUAGCCACACUUAUGUAGUGGAGGACGGCUAGAUUUAUGAGCAAACCAGGAAAGGGAUAACCAACGCACUUACGUGACGAAAAACGACUAGUUUACAAGCAAACUAGCAAAGGCCGUCGAAGCUCUCGCCCGGGAGGGACUCGUCAGGGUGUGGACGUCACCAACGUGCCCUAGGUUGACCAGCAAGCCUGGAACGCCAUUUAUGAUCGUGGAGAACAGUAGAUGAACAGCAUGGAGGUUGGAAAAGUAUUAGGAUUGAGAAGACAAAAGUAAGUUGUAGAUUGAUUCGAUUGGGAUACCCUCAAUCGGCCGUGGUCCUUUAUAUUUAUAGGGUGAGGAGGUCUUGCCCCAGUAGGAGUCGAAGAUUAUAUAAAUCCCGUGUCAAAAUACAACUCCUAGCUCAGACUAGGCUGGGUAGACAGGUCAGACCAUCCAUCCAAACCGGUCUGACCGGUCAGCCAGGAUUGAAUCUUGUCAAAACCAUAACUCUCUCAUUCGCACUCCAAAUUAGAUGUUCCACAUAUGCAUUUCGAUCGUCUCAACGAGCUCUACGCAAUGGUGAAGUCCAAUUUGCAUUUUGAGCACUUUGAUCUAACCGGCCUGACCGGUUGGGCGACCAGUCUGGUUUGCCGGAUCGGCUGCAGGACCAAUAACCGGUCAGAUCGCUUCAGUAGGCCGGUCAGACUGGAUGGCUGUCAUAUCAGCCAUAUCUGCUACUUUUGGUGUCAUUCCAAGUGCUGAUUUAUCCUUUUUAGCAAAAUUACAUCCAGAGCAUAGAACGACCCUUUUGUCCUGCACAAUUCAUAUUCAAGCCAAACUUGCAGAAUAUCAAGAGUUAGUACCAAGCAAUUCUGAUCUUAGCCUCACAUAUUCCGGACCGUGCCACUUUUGAGCUCCAACACCUGCCUAUUUAAACUUUUAUAAAAUCAGAUCGAUCUUAACUAGAUGUGAGUUCUUCAUCUAGCUCGAGUAGCAUUAUUACAUGUGCCGCUGAAAGUGGCCAAAGCAUUCAGUCUCCGACGUAACCCCAUUGUCACGACAACUACUGAAACGUCCGGUCCAUCUUCACCGUGUAUCCUCAUCGUGACCAGUUUAGGAGAAUCUUUCCCUUCUUUGUUAAUCUAUAUCUAUACCUAUUCUAAUUGCACCUAAAUGAGGACCGCUCCUGCCCACUUUUGGUUCAACAACACGUGGGCCUACAAAUUUUCGUCCGUCCCCUCCCAUCGCGCCCCUCUGUCGAUACGCACAGCAGCGCUCUCCGCCCUCCAUUUUUUUCCAACUUCCUCUAUCCGCGUCUCGCUCCUAAAGAAGCCGCCGCUCCCGCAUGCCUAAUCACCUGGCUGCUGGCUGCCCACUGUGCCACCCUGUGGAGGCCGUCACCACACCUCGCCGGAGCCACGCGCCUCGCUGGGUCUGACGGCCGACCCCUCCCUCCCGUCAUGCAGAUCUACUGCACCUCUAGCAACGCACUCCUGCAGGCCGCUUCCCCCUCCACCGCUCGCUCCGCCGCCGCCCCAGCAAGCAGAAGGGGUGCUGAGGAGCGAGGAUGAGGUGGCACUGGGUCAGCGUCGCUCGCCGCCAUCCAUCGAGGAGGCUGGAUUCGUGGCGUCCGCGACAGAGGACAAUGAUCCACUCAGGUGCGUCUGCAUCUUCGCCAACAAGUACACGCGCAUCUACGCCACCCACUGCGCUUCCCCCACCGACGCCGUCAACACCCAUUCCAUCAACGCCUGCAACGUCCUCGCGCUCUCGUGAAUGGCCGCGCCGUCACGCUCGCACUGCACGACCUGCCGCGCCGCCGUCACUCGGAAUCCGCUUUAAUAGGGCGCAAGCCCUCAAGGUGAGCGAUGAGUGGAUCGAUUGAUUUUUUUCCAGUGAUUUCAUCUGUUCGACUUGCACUGGCUUGCAUUUGCUGGGUCCGUGGCCAUAGUUGAACUCAGAUUAGAAACAUGGCGUGGCGUUGCUACGUCUGAUAGCCCCCAUUAGUGGACUAUGUAGGAUCAUGCGGCUUGCCUGAUAGAGGUAAUCAGGGUUGACUCAAGCCUGAUGGAGCUCAUUAGGGUCAUCGCUGAACCACGGCGGCAAUAGCAGAGCUUUGGAAAAAUAAUCAAGUAAACUUAUCGAAUUUCUCACAAAAAAGCCAAAUCAGUUUGGUUUCUUUGAUGAAUCAUCCUCUAAAGAUGAAAAAAGCCAAAUCAGUUUGGUUUCUUUGAUGAAUCAUCCUCUAAAGAUGUAACACCGUUGCUACUGUUAUCUCUGUUUGUGUCACUGUUGUUUUCAAGUUCAGGAACUACAGCUGUAGAAUGUAGGAAACAUACACAGCUUGCAUAUCAAAAGUAUAUCAAUAUUGUACACAAUGUGCAUCUGGGCUUUGGGAGUUUUCUUAAUGGCAUUGUCAUGACUUUCAUAGAGUUUUCUUAAGGAAGCUGUUGUUUGUUGCAUUGAAUAGUUUUGAACCAAACAUUGCGAACAAGCCUACAGGUUGUUCGACCAGUGUAUUGUGUUUUGAAGAACUAAUUAAUUAGUAAAGUAGUUCCCUGACAUGAGAUCGCAAAAGUACCUUGAGUCACUGUUCUUUUAUUGGGCAUGAAUGUGUUAGUUCCUUGUCUAUCAAUUAUGUUGAUUAUUUUGCUGCAGAGCAAGACCUGUUUCCGGAGUGUUUCUCUGUUGUAAUUAAACAAUGUCCAGGAACAAUAGAAGUAGCAGACUUACCAGUUACCACAUUGCACAUUUCAGUAAGAAUCAACAAGAGGAGAAUCAUAUGAUGGAAUUAUAUCUGCAACUCAAUUGUCGAGUGAACGGAAAUCAGGUUUCUUAAUAGUUGAAGAUUUUAGUUAUUUCGAACAUAUGAUUUGGCUCAUAUGUUAGUCCAUUUCCAAAAUGAAGGCACAGAAUCCUACUGUCAUAAUUUUUAGAAGCUACCAAUUAGUUGGUAAGAUAGCAUAUGUAGCACAUUAUUCUGAACAUUAACAUGUUUAGAUGUUGUUCAGUCCUUGAGUUGUGGAGAUGUGGAGCCUGUAAAAAAGCGUAAGCACCACAUUGUGGUGAAUAAGCAGUUAUUCAGUAUAUGUAUAUUUUUAAGGACACUUUGUCGUGUUGAACUUAUUAUGCAAUAGCAGACCUUCUUUUUGUUCUUUUCUGAACAUAACCCUUCGAACAAUUAUUCUGAUAAUGGUGGUUUAUUUCUGCAUCAACAUGUGCAUCUACAUUUCCAAAAUCUGCUUCAGACCAUGGAUUGAUUGUAGCAAAUGGAACCUAUAUGCUUACUGCUGGCACCUGUGUGCAGUGAGCUGUGGACCAGGCAGUCUCAAGUAAGUGGGAUUAGUAUCGUCAUUCUUUUCAGAUGAUCUUAGUUGUACUGCUGGAUUUAACUUCUGUAUCAUUAUGCCUGUUUUCUGUUCUAUCAGUUUAUAUUGCACACCUGCUUCACUAUCAGGAUCAUGCCCAAGCAUGCAGUGUCCUAACAGCAAUGUGAUGCUUAGCAAUGUGAGCACCCAUCCAACCAGUGCAGGAUGCAAUGUCUCUUCUUGCAGCUACGGAGGUUUUGUUAAUGGAACUAUUACUACUUCAUAAGCAGCAUUUUGCCCAAUGUUCAUUUUAUUCCAUUCUCGCUGCAUGUGGCACUUCUGCUUAAAUUGCACGAUCAGAUGGUUGGGGCAUCUCAUUCUUUGGGUAAUGGUAAAAAUAUCAAGCAAACAAUAUGGCUGAUAGGAGUACUGCUUAAUGUGAAUGUGAUAUGUUUUCGCUCUUGGAUGUUAGAAUUAAUGCGUGGUAACCAGUAGCCACUAAAAAACUUCUUAAACUUACGAAAUGCUAAAUGCUGGAUAUAGCUAUUAUGGGGAACCAAAAGGGAAAAAAAAGGAUAUGGCAGUAUUUGUGUUGGUAUAAAAUGUCAUUAGUUUGAAAAACACAAUUGAUCUUUUACCGUAGCAACGCACGGGUAUUUUGCUAGUUAAUAAGAAAUGAGAUGAGACUUAUAAUAAGACCUUAGAUGAGACUUCAUCGUGUAUCCUCAUCGUAAUUUGUAUCCUACUAGUCCAUCAACCCAUGUUGGCAUAGAGACUAACUUAGAAAUCUAAUAAAAAUUAGGACCUGUAUAGCUAAGGCACUGUUUGGUUUGUCCUUGCUAAACUUUACUGAAGUUUAGUCCCUAAAUUGCCAAACAGGGUGACUAAGAGUUGCUAAACUUUAGUCCUUAGUUCUUUAGUCUCCAAGGGGUUGCUUAUAGGGACUAAAAGGGACCUUGACAGGGUGUAACCUUCAUUAAUGCCCUGUGCCUGUCCCGCCGCCGACCCCCCACCCGCUGCCGCUCCCGCCCGCCCCACCGCACCCCACCGCCCUGAACAGGAGAAACUGGAGUAGGAGAGCUAGCUGACUGAAUAUUUGGUGUAUUAACUGAUGAAGUUAAUCUUGUUCUCUUCCUCAUUUGAGUUGGCAAUGGUUCCCUAUUUGCUUCCGAUAACCUUUUCUGCAUAGCAAUUAACCUAUUCAAUCUCUCACUGCUAUCUUCGAAGGGUCUUGUAGCAGGUACCUCCAAAGAUCGGUCUUCACCAUCCUGUAAUAGAGAAUAUUAUAUGAUCUUGGAUUGAAGAACGAAUUAUAUUAAAUUCCAAACAAGAUUCAAGAACGAAUCAUUCCUAUGGACUGAAUCUUGGAUCCGUCCCUUUCUUUGCAAACAAUCUUAAUCUGAAUCUGAGCUAGGGUUCAAAGCUGAAUCAAUCCGAGAAACAAGCAACAGAACAUGGAAAAAUAGAAUGGAAACCAAUGAAACAAGAAGAGAUAGAAGGCCACCUUGUUCAGCCUGGAUGGAUUGGGAGUGGGGAUUGACCCGUCGCCGACGAGCUCCACGGUGAGAAGUGGCAGCGAGUUGACGUCCAUAUCGAGGGACCCACCCAUGGAGGCAACCGCUCCCCGUAGCUGCGAUGAUGAUUCGGCCGCCAGCGCGGCCUCCAACCUUGAGUGACACCGUCGCGCGGCAUCUUCACCGCCGCCGCCCCGUUUUUCCCCUCGAUGCUAGCCUCGGUGGGUUUGAUGGGUUAAAACUGGAAACCAGCUGAACCCCGCUUGCUUCAUCCGGGUCCGCGCGGGUCAGGGUCCAACCCGCGCUAGGAACCGGAAUGAUAGGUCUAGCAGGGUUGGGUGCGGGCUGGUUCCCGGUUUCCCUGAACCCAUGAACAGGGCUACUUGUGGUUCUCUUUCGAGAGUCCCCUUCUGCAGCUGAUUUGUACCUUCUCUCCCUUGGUCGACCUGGUGCCCUUUUCAGAAGUGGAGGCCACAACUUGAACCCAGGAUUAACUUGAGGCCACUGUUUACUAUCUGUCAUUGGCUUCACGGACUUUUCAUAGGCUUUCUUGAACUUUGCCACAGAAUAGUAGUCAUGAACAUAGUCUUCAAUAUUACCUUGAAUUGAGGUUAUAAUACACAAGGCAUGUGUCCAUGGCAGACCAGUAACUUGCCAGCGCCUACAGGUAUGCUUCCUCUCCUGAAGAUCAACGGUAUGCCUCCAAUGAACUAGAUCUCUUGUAACACCUUCAACUUCACCUAACAUUUCACCUUAUUUCAGCCCUCUGCUCCUUGCAUUAAGGUCCUUCAUCACAUUUGGCAGUAUCUUAUCUUCAAUUCUUAGCAAUUUUUCUUCUUAAGAACAUUUUCUCCAUGCAUAAUUGUCUGAUCCUAUCCAAUAAGAUCAACAACAUGCAGGGAUUUUUUCAUGCCUAAUCCAGCUGUUGAAUGUUUCAGCUAUGUUAUUUGUGUACCAAUGUCAACAAGCAAAUCAUUCCAAUUUGUGCUAUUCCUGUCUAAAAUCCUUGGAAUGUUGCAAGCAUCACAAUACAUACGAGUGCCAUCAUCACUUAGUUUCACGUAAGCACCUACACGCAUAGCAAGUCUGUAGGCUGAACUGGCAUCCAUCCUAAACAGACAUUGGCACAAAUUCGAGUGGAAUAAACACACAGUUAGCUUUACUUCAUUUGCAAAUACGAGCUCAAGUUAGCACAAGAAAUUGGAAGACCACUUACCCAUCAGGAACCCAUGAGAGAUCAGCCUGAUCCUGCGGGAAAAUCUCGUUGAGGAAUCGUGGGGGUCUCCAUCUUCUAUCCUCAGCCAACCGUGCUUGUUCUUCAAGAGGGGCUGCGCGCGGGGCGUCGGUGGGUGUCGCAGCAGCCUACGACGUGCGGGGAGGGGCCGCGCACGUCCAUGGUGGCCAGCGCACCGCCGGAAUGGGCCACCUUGUUCAGCCAAUGAAACAAGAAGAGAUAGAAGGCCACCUUGUUCAGCCUGGAUGGAUCGGGAGUGGGGAUUGACCCGUCGCCGACGAGCUCCACGGUGAGAAGUGGCGGCGAGUCGAUGUCCAUUUCGAGGGACCCACCCAUGGAGGCAACCGCUUCCCGCAGCCGCAAUGCUGAUUCGGCCGCCAGCGCGGCCUCCAGCUCAAGGCCUUGAGCGACACCGUCGUGUAGCAUCUUCGCCGUCACCACCCCUUUUUUUCCCCCUUGAUGCUGGCCUCGAUGGGUUUGACAGGUUAAAACCACAAACCAGCUGACCCCCGCUUGCUUCAUCCGGGUCCACGCAGGUCGGGGUCCAACCCGCGCUAGGAACCGGAAUGACAGGUCCAGCAGGGUUGGGUGCGGGCUGGUUCCCGGUUUCCCUGAACCCAUGAACAGGGCUACUUGUGGUUCUCUUUCCAGAGUCCCCUUUUGCAGCUAAUUUGUACCUUCUCUCCCUUGGUUGACCUGGUGCCCUUUUCAGAAGUGGAGGCCACAACAUUAACUUGAAGCCACUGUUUACUAUCUGUCAUUGGCUUCACAGACUUUUCAUAGGCUUUCUUGAACUUUGCCACAAAAUAGUAGUCAUGAACACAGUCUUCAAUAUUACCUCAAAUUGAGGUUAUAAUACACAAGGCAUGUGUACAUGGCAGACCAUAACUUGCCAGCGCCUACAGGUACGCUUCCUCUCCUGAAGAUCAACGGUAUGCCUCCAAUGAACUAGAUCUCUUGUAACACCUUCAACUUCACCUAACAUUUCACCUUAUUUCAGCCCCCUGCUCCUUGCAUUAAGGUCCUUCAUCACAUUUGGCAGUAUCUUAUCUUCAAGCUUCUUAGCAAUUUUUCUUCUUAAGAACAUUUUCUCCAUGCAUAAUUGUCUGAUCCUAUCCAUAAGAUCAACAACAUGCAGGGAUUUUUCAUGCCUAAUCCAGCUGUUGAAUGUUUCAGCUAUGUUAGUUGUGUACCAAUGUCAACAAGCAAAUCAUUCCAAUUUGUGCUAUUCCUGUCUAAAAUCCUUGGAAUGUUACAAGCAUCACAAUACAUACGAGUGCCAUCAUCACUUAGUUUCACAUAAGCACCUACACGCAUAGCAAGUCUGUAGGCUGAACUGGCAUCCAUCCUAAACAGACAUUGGCACAAAUUCGAGUGGAAUAAACACACAGUUAGUUUUACUUCAUUUGCAAAUACGAGCUCAAGUUAGCACAAGAAAUUGGAAGACCACUUACCCAUCAGGAACCCAUGAGAGAUCAGCCUGAUCCUGCGGGAAAGGAACCCAUGAGAGAUCAGCCUGAUCCUGCGGGAAAAUCUCGCUGAGGAAUCAUGGGGGUCUCCAUCUUCUAUCCUCAGCCAACCGUGCUUGUUCUUCAAGAGGGGCUGCGCGCGGGGCGUCGGUAGGUGUCGCAGCAGCCUACGACGCGCGGGGAGGGGCCACACGCGUCCAUGGUGGCCAACCAGGGGUGAAACAGUCAUUUUCGAUCCUUUACAAUUAAACUGAUUAAAAUAUGGAGUAUAGUGUCCAGCAGCAUAUUACCGUAGUUAAAGAGUGUGUUCUAGCAAAACCACUCUUUUUUAGUGUCCUGUGGCAAAAACCACGAUUGAACGAUGUCCGGGAGCUAAUUUUGCCUAACUUAUAUGCAUGAUGUGUGUCAUAGACCACAUAUACAUAUAUGCACGAAGAGAUGAGACUAUUUAUUUCUAUGUUAAACACAUAGCUCACUAAGCGUUAAGUUGAACUUACGUGCUUCCUCCGUCUAUAAAUACAUGACGUUUAGGACAAGCUAUAUCUAUGAACGGAGGUAGUAUAUGCCGGGUGUAGCCACAGCGUUUCCUUCACCACCAUGUUGAGGUACUUGAGCUUGGGCAUGUCAUCAGGCUGCACCCUCUCUUUGUCACCCACCACGGCCCUGAUCUCAUCCUGCACUUUCUUGAGCACUUGCGGCUUUCGGAUCAGCUCCGCCAUCGCCCAGACCAUGGUAACUGAGCUCCUGUCAACGCCACCAAUGAAGGUAUUCUGAAAAUUAUGAUGGAGUGAUGAAUUUACAGUUACGUGUAAUCUGCUUAUUCAUUGGUGUAAAUUGAGUCAAGUUUCUCCAUCUCUGUACAUACCGACAGUAGUGCUUUGAUAUGGUCUGUACGUACUGAACCUCAUGAGAGACCCUUGGUGUUUGUGGUCCUCCUCCAUGAGGACGUGGACAAGAUCGCUGCUGCUGCUGCUGGCUAUCUCACGGGAGGGGUCGAGGUGCUGCUGGAUGAUCAUGUCGAAGAAAGCGUCGAGCUCCCUGAACACUGUCUCACGGCGGGAGACGACACCGGUGAGGUGGUCCAGGAGGCGUCCGACCACGUUGGGGAAGUAGAAACUGGCUAACACCCCCAUGGCCUCGUCGACUACAUCAUGGAAGUGCUUCGUGUGCGCGAACUGCUCCGUGCCGUAGAUAUUCCCGAACGCCACCGUACCAAUGACGCCGUCCAUGAGACCGAAGAUGUGGUCCUCCAGGAACACUUGUUUCCCUCCGGAGCUGCUCAAUCUACCGAUGAGUUUGUCCACCUAUAAUAAUACCAUCAAUAAGUAGAAUAUUCAUUAUUCCUGUCCAUUUCAAAUAGGUUGUUUUAAUUUUAUUCGACAUCAAACUUCUCUAAAUUUCACAUAAAAAACUUCUCUAAUUUUGACGAAGUUUAUAUGCAUUCUCUUGCUGUGUAUUUUACAGCAAUAUAUGUUACUCGGUAUAGUACAACGCACUAGGUAUACCUGGGCCUCUCUGGCGUACCAGGCUGCCUGGAUGACGAAGAGCUUGCGCAUCUCGCGCCAGCAGUCGCUGUAGGGCGUGAACGCCACGUCCUUGUGGCCGUACGACAACCGCCGCGCCCCCGGCGUGUCCGGCCGGCUGCAGCACGCGGCGUCGUGCGUCUUCAGCACCUCCCUCGCACCUCCGCCGACGACACCACCAGCGUCGGCACCGUGCCCAGCCGCAGCUGCAUCACCGGCCCGUGGCGACGCGCCAGCUCGCGGAGGCUCCGGUGGGGCAGCGCGCCCAUGAUCUGAUGCAGGUUGCCCAGGACAGGCAGGACAGGCAGCCUCAGCAGUGGACCGGGCGGCAGGUGGAGGCGGCGGCCUUUGGUGGAGACGAAGCUUCUUGUUGCAAGAGCGAGGCCGAGGAGAGGCAGAAGAAAUGUAAAGAAGAUGGCAGGGAGCUGCAGUUUCCAUUAUUGAGGCAUGAAUUCCAGGACAGGCAAAGGCAUGGCCACUGUUUCUUUUACUCCAAAUGAAAGCAAAAUAAUUAUAAUGUGAGCAUCUGCGUCUGUGCAAUUCAAAAAAAAAAGUUUGCUAGUAGAGCUCAUCAACUACUCCCUUCUAAGUCAAAUCUUGUUUGGCAGUUUGAGUGUUAUUUUGGUAUGCUCCAUCCAUGUAAGAGCAUAGCUAUGUUUAUGUUUGUCCUAAGUCAUACACUUUUAUUUUUGAUGGAUAAUAGCUCUAAAAAUUAUUUAUUUUAAAUAUAAAAAUUGCAUAUUAUGAUAGUAUGUGUACGAUUGUCCUGAAUCAAACUACUCUGAAAACUAUGGUGAACUACAGUUUCAAAUGAGGGCUUGGAUACAAUGUAUUCAGAUGUGAAAAAGUAUAUAAAUAUAUACAAGUAAAGUAGCAGGCUAUACAUUUUUGUUUUGUUUUUAGAUGAUUACCACAAACUUUUGGAGAUCCCACAUCAUAUUUAUCUCACAAAUGAUCGGAUUUAUUUAGAUAUUACAAGUGUCUUGGAUCCAUAAGCGGUGGUCUUGGUAAUAUAAGCUGGUCAUGACUCAUGAUCUCUGCCACUUGUACCUGGUCGGCACAAGCACGAGGGGACCUUCUUGUUGACGGUGAGCCCUCCUGCCUCUUCCAUGCUCACAUCCUCCACCGUCAUACCAUCUGGGAGCUCCCACUCGAAGCAGUGGAGCAGGUUGGCCAGCGUGAACUCUACUAUCGCCACCCCCAUGGCCACUCCAGGGCACAUCCUACGUCCAGCGCCGAAUGGCAGAAGCUCGAAAUGCGCCCCAUUGAAGUCGACACCAUCCCCCUCAAACCUAUCUGGGUCAAACUCCUUGGGGUUGCUCCAGAUUGCAGGGUCUCUGCCAAUUGCCCAGACGUUUACAAAGAUCCUUGUCCUGGCAGGCACAUCGUAUCCGCAGAUCUUGAUGUGUCGCAUGGUCUCUCUCGGAGCUAGAAGCGGUGCCACCGGGUGUAGCCGUAGCGUCUCCUUUACCACCAUCUUAAGAUACUUGAGUUUGGACAAGUCGUCCGGCUCUACCCUCUCUUUGUUGCCCACCGCUCCUCUGAUCUCGUCUUGUGCCUUCUUAAGAACCUCCGGGUUUCGAAUCAGCUCGGCCAUUGCCCAGACCACCGUGACCGAGUUCGUGUCAACUCCACCAAUGAACGUAUCCUGAAAGAUUGUACGUAUGCAUAACGGUUAUAAAUGAAAUAAUAUAUAUAGCUCCAUAAAUCCUCUUUUGUACUGUAAAUUUAUGAGCUCUUUUACGGUACAUAAUACUAUUGUACUUAGUAGUAUAUAAUAUAUAUAAGAUCUAAAUAUUCAUGAUUAUGGAUGAUUUAGUAAUUAUUACAUGUGAAAAGUGAUAUUUCAAACGGAAUGGCCUCUUAAACUUUAUGCUAGUGUCAAAAAUAAAAUUUUAGUGAUGUCAUUUGUGUUCUUUUACCAUGAUACUCUUAUACUAUCUAUACUACUCAUGUAUACUACUUAUACCACACGUGAAGGUUUCGGUAGUAUACAAUUAAUCUUAACCGUCGAAUUUUAUAUACUAAUCUUUUUUGAACACUAGUAUAGCCUAGUGGAGCUUAAAUUUUAUAUGUUGAUGACGUUGCGUACCGAUAACAUUCCCUUGAUGUGGUCUCUAGUGAACCAACUGAAAGUGCCCUCGUGCUCCUUGGUGAGGCCAAUAAGGAUGUCGAUGAAGCCAGGCCCGUUGUCCGGUGUGGGGCGGGACGGCUGGAGGUGGGUGUCGAUAAUCUUGUCGAAGAAAGUGUCGAGCUCCCAAAAUACCUUCUCACGGCGGGAGACGAGGCCGGUGAGAUGGUCCACAAGGCGACCCAAGACGUUGGGGAAGUAGUCCUCAGCGGAGAAGCUGCUCUUUACAGCCAUGGCCUCAUCGAACAGAUCGUGGAAGUGCUUCUUGUGUGCAAACUGCUCUGAACCGUAUAUGCUCCCAAGUGCCACCGUGCCGACAAUGCCGUCCAUGAGCGUGAAGAUGUGAUCCUCCAGGUACACUGGUCUCCGUCCUCCGCUGGUUAAGCGGCCGAUGAGUUUGUCCACCUCAGCUUCCCUGGCUGGCCAGGUGGCCUGGACGCGGCGCGCGUUGAGGAGCUCGACGACGAUGAGCUUGCGCAUCUCGCGCCAGCAGUCGCUGUAGGGCGUGAACGCCACGUCCUUGUAGCCGUACGAUAACCGCCGCGCCCCCGGCGUGUCCGGCCGGGUGCAGCACGCGGCGUCGUGCGUCUUCAGCACCUCCCUCGCCGCCUCCGCCGACGACACCACCAGCGUCGGCACCGUGCCCAGCCGCAGCUGCAUCACCGGCCCGUGGCGACGCGCCAGCUCGCAGAGGCUCCGGUGGGGCAGCGCGCCCAUGAUCUGAUGCAGGUUGCCCAGGACAGGCAGCCUCAGCAGUGGACCGGGCGGCAGGUGGAGGCGGUCCCCUUUGGUGGAGAAGAAGCUUAUUGUUGCAAGAGCGAGGGCGAGGAGAGGGAGAAGAAACGUAAAGAAGAUGGCAGGGAGCUGCAGUUUCCAUUGUUGAGGCAUGCAUUCCAGGACAGGCAAAGGCAUGGCCAC
Molecule: long non-coding RNA, 37368 nt
Filed under: Setaria italica (foxtail millet)
Lineage: Eukaryota; Viridiplantae; Streptophyta; Magnoliopsida; Poales; Poaceae
Description: long non-coding RNA (SITA_LNC006361)
Source: RNAcentral